Molecule: ribosomal RNA, 253 nt
Filed under: uncultured prokaryote
Description: partial 16S ribosomal RNA
Rfam family: Bacterial small subunit ribosomal RNA
Source: RNAcentral
UACGGGGGGAGCAAGCGUUGUUCGGAUUUACUGGGCGUAAAGGGCGCGUAGGCGGCCGAGCAAGUCGGACGUGAAAUACCCCGGCUCAACUGGGGAAUUGCAUCCGAAACUGCUUGGCUUGAGUCCUGGAGAGGGUAGUGGAAUUCCCAGUGUAGCGGUGAAAUGCGUAGAUACUGGGAGGAACACCGGUGGCGAAGGCGGCUACCUGGACAGGUACUGACGCUGAUGCGCGAAAGCUAGGGGAGCAAACAGG